RNAcentral lists this ribosomal RNA (465 nucleotides) under uncultured bacterium. Its description in RNAcentral is "partial 16S ribosomal RNA". It matches the Rfam family "Bacterial small subunit ribosomal RNA", at positions 339 to 795 of the family's 1533-position model. The record is from RNAcentral.
CUACGGGUCGCAGCAGUGAGGAAUUUUGCGCAAUGGGGGAAACCCUGACGCAGCAACGCCGCGUGAGCGAAGAAGGCCCUCGGGUCGUAAAGCUCUGUCAAGUGGGAAAAAAAUUUUUUGAUCAAUAGUCAAAAGACUUGAUGGUACCACUGGAGGAAGCACCGGCUAACUCCGUGCCAGCAGCCGCGGUAAUACGUGAGGGUGCGAGCGUUGUUCGGAUUUACUGGGCGUAAAGAGCGUGUAGGCGGUUCAGCAAGUCAGAUGUGAAAGCCCUGGGCUCAACCCGGGAAGUGCAUUUGAAACUGCUUCACUAGAGUAUGGGAGAGGAGAUUGGAAUUCCUGGUGUAGAGGUGAAAUUCGUAGAUAUCAGGAGGAACACCCGUGGCGAAGGCGAUUCUCUGGACCAAUACUGACGCUGAGACGCGAAAGCGUGGGGAGCAAACAGGAUUAGAUACCCCAGUAGUC